This 240-nucleotide small RNA is filed under the name Vigna angularis var. angularis. Its description in RNAcentral is "Non-protein coding transcript". The record is from RNAcentral. Lineage: Eukaryota; Viridiplantae; Streptophyta; Magnoliopsida; Fabales; Fabaceae.
UAGGUAUAUACCAUCGGGGACCACUUCGAAAUAGCCAAGUCAAAUAGAUCUAGUGGUCAUGACAUUGGGUGUUACUCUGUAUCAUCGGACACUCACUUGAAAAUGAGUUCCAUUUGUCCAGAGCAUUGGGUGCCAUGCUUAGACCAUUAGACGCUCACUUGACAAGGGUUCUAAGCAUAGUUAGUGUUGGGAACCAUUUUGGAAUUUAAAUUCCAUAAAGCUCUAGGGCCUGAAGUGUUG